UACGUAGGGUGCAAGCGUUAAUCGGAAUUACUGGGCGUAAAGCGUGCGCAGGCGGUUCGGAAAGAAAGAUGUGAAACCCCAGAGCUUAACUUUGGAACUGCAUUUUUAACUACCGAGCUAGAGUGUGUCAGAGGGAGGUGGAAUUCCGCGUGUAGCAGUGAAAUGCGUAGAUAUGCGGAGGAACACCGAUGGCGAAGGCAGCCUCCUGGGAUAACACUGACGCUCAUGCACGAAAGCGUGGGGAGCAAACAGGAUUAGAUACCCUGGUAGUCCACGCCCUAAACGAUGUCAACUAGCUGUUGGGGCCUUCGGGCCUUGGUAGCGCAGCUAACGCGUGAAGUUGACCGCCUGGGGAGUACGGUCGCAAGAUUAAAACUCAAA
Molecule: ribosomal RNA, 381 nt
Filed under: uncultured bacterium
Lineage: Bacteria
Description: bacterial SSU rRNA
Rfam family: Bacterial small subunit ribosomal RNA
Source: RNAcentral